Molecule: ribosomal RNA, 1093 nt
Filed under: Salmonella enterica subsp. enterica serovar Infantis
Lineage: Bacteria; Pseudomonadati; Pseudomonadota; Gammaproteobacteria; Enterobacterales; Enterobacteriaceae
Description: bacterial SSU rRNA
Rfam family: Bacterial small subunit ribosomal RNA
Source: RNAcentral
AAAUUGAAGAGUUUGAUCAUGGCUCAGAUUGAACGCUGGCGGCAGGCCUAACACAUGCAAGUCGAACGGUAGCACAGAGAGCUUGCUCUCGGGUGACGAGUGGCGGACGGGUGAGUAAUGUCUGGGAAACUGCCUGAUGGAGGGGGAUAACUACUGGAAACGGUGGCUAAUACCGCAUAACGUCGCAAGACCAAAGAGGGGGACCUUCGGGCCUCUUGCCAUCAGAUGUGCCCAGAUGGGAUUAGCUUGUUGGUGAGGUAACGGCUCACCAAGGCGACGAUCCCUAGCUGGUCUGAGAGGAUGACCAGCCACACUGGAACUGAGACACGGUCCAGACUCCUACGGGAGGCAGCAGUGGGGAAUAUUGCACAAUGGGCGCAAGCCUGAUGCAGCCAUGCCGCGUGUAUGAAGAAGGCCUUCGGGUUGUAAAGUACUUUCAGCGGGGAGGAAGGUGUUGUGGUUAAUAACCGCAGCAAUUGACGUUACCCGCAGAAGAAGCACCGGCUAACUCCGUGCCAGCAGCCGCGGUAAUACGGAGGGUGCAAGCGUUAAUCGGAAUUACUGGGCGUAAAGCGCACGCAGGCGGUCUGUCAAGUCGGAUGUGAAAUCCCCGGGCUCAACCUGGGAACUGCAUUCGAAACUGGCAGGCUUGAGUCUUGUAGAGGGGGGUAGAAUUCCAGGUGUAGCGGUGAAAUGCGUAGAGAUCUGGAGGAAUACCGGUGGCGAAGGCGGCCCCCUGGACAAAGACUGACGCUCAGGUGCGAAAGCGUGGGGAGCAAACAGGAUUAGAUACCCUGGUAGUCCACGCCGUAAACGAUGUCUACUUGGAGGUUGUGCCCUUGAGGCGUGGCUUCCGGAGCUAACGCGUUAAGUAGACCGCCUGGGGAGUACGGCCGCAAGGUUAAAACUCAAAUGAAUUGACGGGGGCCCGCACAAGCGGUGGAGCAUGUGGUUUAAUUCGAUGCAACGCGAAGAACCUUACCUGGUCUUGACAUCCACAGAAGAAUCCAGAGAUGGAUUUGUGCCUUCGGGAACUGUGAGACAGGUGCUGCAUGGCUGUCGUCAGCUCGUGUUGUGAAAUGUUGGGUUAAGU